ACUGCUCAGUAACACGUAGGUAACCUGCCCUACGAUCUGAGAUAGCCUCGGGAAACUGAGGGUAAUAUCGGAUAGGGAACGGCACUGUAAUGUCCGUUUCCCUAAAGCUUCGGCGUCGUAGGAUGGGCCGGCGGCGGAUUAGGCUGUUGGCGGUGUAAUGGACCACCAAACCGAAGAUCCGUAAGGGCCAUGAGAGUGGUAGCCCUGAGAAGGACACUGAGAUACGGGUCCUAGCCCUACGGGGUGCAGCAGUCGGGAAAACUUUACAAUGCGCGAAAGCGUGAUAAGGGAAUCCUUCGUGCUCAAGUCUUACUUGGGCUUUUGCCAAGGGCAAACUCCUUGGCGAAUAAGUGGUGGGCAAGACUGGUGCCAGCCGCCGCGGUAACCCCAGCGCCACAAGUGGUACCCAGCUUUAUUUGGUCUAAAGCGUCCGUAGCUGGUUUUGCAAAUGCCUUGUGAAAUGGUUGUGCCUAACGCAACCACGCGCAAGGUAGACUACAAGACUUGGGACCAGGAGAGGUUGGCGGUAUUCUGUGGGGAGCGGUAAAAUGCUAUAAUCCACGGAGGACCACCGAUGGCGAAGGCAGCUAACCAGCAUGGAUCCGACAGUGAGGGACGAAAGCUAGGGGAGCGAUCCGGAUUAGAUACCCGAGUAGUCCUAGCCGUAAACGCUGCGUGCCAGAUGUUACACAAUCUUCGUGAUUGUGUAGUGUCGUAACGAAAGUGUUAAGCACGCCACCUGGGGAGUACGGUCGCAAGGCUGAAACUUAAAGGAAUUGGCGGGGGAG
This 788-nucleotide ribosomal RNA is filed under the name uncultured archaeon. RNAcentral describes it as "bacterial SSU rRNA". It matches the Rfam family "Archaeal small subunit ribosomal RNA", at positions 85 to 876 of the family's 1478-position model. The record is from RNAcentral.